UACGAAGGGUGCAAACGUUGCUCGGAAUUAUUGGGCGUAAAGCGCACGUAGGCGGCUUUGCAAGUCCCAUGUGAAAUCCCUCGGCUCAACCGAGGAAGUGCUUUCGAAACUACUGGACUUGAGUACUGGAGAGGGUCGCGGAAUUCCCGGUGUAGAGGUGAAAUUCGUAGAUAUCGGGAGGAACACCAGUGGCGAAGGCGGCGACCUGGACAGAUACUGACGCUGAGGUGCGAAAGCGUGGGGAGCAAACAGG
This 253-nucleotide ribosomal RNA is filed under the name uncultured bacterium. Its description in RNAcentral is "partial 16S ribosomal RNA". It matches the Rfam family "Bacterial small subunit ribosomal RNA", at positions 524 to 776 of the family's 1533-position model. The record is from RNAcentral.